GAUUAACGCUAGCGGCAGGCAUAAUACAUGCAAGUUGAACGAGAUUAGUUUUAGCAAUAGAACUAGUUUAGUGGCGCACGGGUGCGUAACGCGUAUGCAACCUACCUUAAACAGGGGAAUAGCCUCUCGAAAGAGAGAUUAAUACCGCAUAAUAUAUUUUUAGAGCAUUCUAGGAAUAUCAAACCUACGGGGGUUUAAGAUGGGCAUGCGUGACAUUAGCUAGUUGGUGAGGUAACGGCUCACCAAGGCAACGAUGUCUAGGGGGUCUGAGAGGAUGUCCCCCCACACUGGUACUGAGACACGGACCAGACUCCUACGGGAGGCAGCAGUAGGGAAUAUUGGUCAAUGGAGGCAACUCUGAACCAGCCAUGCCGCGUGCAGGACUAAGGCCCUAUGGGUCGUAAACUGCUUUUGAAUGGGAAGAAAUGUAUCUACGUGUAGAUAUUUGACGGUACCAUUAGAAUAAGGAUCGGCUAACUUCGUGCCAGCAGCCGCGGUAAUACGAAGGAUCCAAGCGUUGUCCGGAUUUACUGGGUUUAAAGGGUGCGUAGGCGGACUUAUAAGUCAGUGGUGAAAGCCUUCAGCUUAACUGAAGAACUGCCAUUGAAACUGUGAGUCUCGAGUUCGGUUGAGGUCAUUGGAAUGUAACAUGUAGCGGUGAAAUGCAUAGAUAUGUUACAGAACACCAAUUGCGAAGGCAGAUGACUAAACCGAAACUGACGCUGAGGCACGAAAGCGUGGGGAUCAAACA
Molecule: ribosomal RNA, 751 nt
Filed under: uncultured Cytophagales bacterium
Lineage: Bacteria; Pseudomonadati; Bacteroidota; Sphingobacteriia; Sphingobacteriales
Description: bacterial SSU rRNA
Rfam family: Bacterial small subunit ribosomal RNA
Source: RNAcentral